Molecule: transfer RNA, 88 nt
Filed under: Chloroflexota bacterium
Lineage: Bacteria; Bacillati; Chloroflexota
Description: Chloroflexi bacterium tRNA-Leu
Rfam family: tRNA
About the family: Transfer RNA (tRNA) molecules are approximately 80 nucleotides in length.
Source: RNAcentral
GCCGAGAUGGCGGAACGGUAGACGCAGCGGGCUUAAACCCCGCGGCCCGUAAAACGGCGUGUGGGUUCGAAUCCCACUCUCGGCACCA